Molecule: ribosomal RNA, 774 nt
Filed under: uncultured bacterium
Lineage: Bacteria
Description: bacterial SSU rRNA
Rfam family: Bacterial small subunit ribosomal RNA
Source: RNAcentral
AGAGUUUGAUCAUGGCUCAGGACGAACGCUGGCGGCGUGCUUAACACAUGCAAGUCGAGCGAGGCCCGCCUUUCGAGGUGGUGCCCUAGCGGCGAACGGGUGAGUAACACGUGGGCAAUCUGCCCUCAGCUUUGGGAUAAGCCUCGGAAACGGGGUCUAAUACCGGAUAGGACCUUUCACCGCAUGGUGGGGGGUGGAAAGAUUUAUCGGCUGAGGAUGGGCCCGCGGCCUAUCAGCUUGUUGGUGGGGUGAUGGCCUACCAAGGCGACGACGGGUAGCCGGCCUGAGAGGGCGACCGGCCACACUGGGACUGAGACACGGCCCAGACUCCUACGGGAGGCAGCAGUGGGGAAUAUUGCACAAUGGGCGGAAGCCUGAUGCAGCGACGCCGCGUGAGGGAUGACGGCCUUCGGGUUGUAAACCUCUUUCAGCAGGGACGAAGCGAAAGUGACGGUACCUGCAGAAGAAGCACCGGCCAACUACGUGCCAGCAGCCGCGGUAAUACGUAGGGUGCAAGCGUUGUCCGGAAUUAUUGGGCGUAAAGAGCUCGUAGGCGGUUUGUCACGUCGGCUGUGAAAACCUGGGGCUCAACCCCGGGCCUGCAGCCGAUACGGGCUGACUAGAAUUCGGUAGGGGAGUCUGGAAUUCCUGGUGUAGCGGUGAAAUGCGCGAUAUCAGGAGGAACACCGGUGGCGAAGGCGGGACUCUGGGCCGAUAUUGACGCUGAGGAGCGAAAGCGUGGGGAGCGAACAGGAUUAGAUACCCUAGUAGUCC